Lotus japonicus is the source of this 145-nucleotide small nucleolar RNA. RefSeq annotates it as small nucleolar RNA snoR138. The transcript has a single exon. The record is from RefSeq and is a predicted model, not a curated record. NCBI's taxonomy places the organism in Eukaryota, Viridiplantae, Streptophyta, Magnoliopsida, Fabales, Fabaceae.
UAUGCCUUCAGAAUAACUGAAUGGUGAUAUGAAAAACACCGUUUGGUAGACAGAGGCACAUAUCAAAUAUCAAACACCCAAAUUUGUUUGAGUGCACGGAACGAUACAACUUUUAUGUUCCUUACCUAGAUUAAUUCGGAUAUUU